This 65-nucleotide transfer RNA is filed under the name Lycostomus sp. YXY-2021. RNAcentral's name for it is "tRNA-Met". The record is from RNAcentral. Lineage: Eukaryota; Metazoa; Arthropoda; Insecta; Coleoptera; Lycidae.
AAAAAGGUAAGCUAAAAUAAGCUUUUGGAUUCAUACCCCAAAUAUAAAGAAAUCUUUCCUUUUUA